Molecule: small nucleolar RNA, 71 nt
Filed under: Salix viminalis (osier)
Lineage: Eukaryota; Viridiplantae; Streptophyta; Magnoliopsida; Malpighiales; Salicaceae
Source: RNAcentral
CAAGCAUCGUGAUGAUAUGUGUUUGUCCGAUCAAUUUCAUGACAGGAUGAAUCACCUCCUACUCAUACUGA